UAGUAAGAUAAUCGUUCUUAUCAGGAAGGUCUCAACUCUCAUCUCCCUUUCUAAGGACAGAAAUGCUAGGAGUAUAACAUGGAAGGUGUUCCAGAUGUGGACAUUCUCAUUUCCUGUUCAAGAAAACACAAUCUGAUAGGAAUGAAGAGGGCAUACUCUGUAACAGGCUGUUAAAAAGAUAACAAAACACAAGUGGGCAGACCAGAUUUGGCCUGUAGGCUAUAGUCUGCUGACUCCUAUUCUUCAAGAUGAACACAUAAGAAGAGAUGAUGUCUUAGUUUCAGAACUCCCAGUGGCCAGAAGAAUCCCUAGAAAAUUCAGAUGCAGCCCUCA
This is a long non-coding RNA of Leopardus geoffroyi (Geoffroy's cat), 333 nucleotides long. RefSeq lists it as uncharacterized. The record is from RefSeq and is a predicted model, not a curated record. The transcript has 3 exons. NCBI's taxonomy places the organism in Eukaryota, Metazoa, Chordata, Mammalia, Carnivora, Felidae.